This 76-nucleotide transfer RNA is filed under the name Gammaproteobacteria bacterium. RNAcentral's name for it is "tRNA-Lys". It matches the Rfam family "tRNA". Rfam says of the family: Transfer RNA (tRNA) molecules are approximately 80 nucleotides in length. Their secondary structure includes four short double-helical elements and three loops (D, anti-codon, and T loops). Further hydrogen bonds mediate the characteristic L-shaped molecular structure. tRNAs have two regions of fundamental functional importance: the anti-codon, which is responsible for specific mRNA codon recognition, and the 3' end, to which the tRNAs corresponding amino acid is attached (by aminoacyl-tRNA synthetases). tRNAs cope with the degeneracy of the genetic code in two manners: having more than one tRNA (with a specific anti-codon) for a particular amino acid; and 'wobble' base-pairing, i.e. permitting non-standard base-pairing at the 3rd anti-codon position. Lineage: Bacteria; Pseudomonadati; Pseudomonadota; Gammaproteobacteria. The record is from RNAcentral. RNAcentral also lists the same sequence under 1 other name.
GGGUCGUUAGCUCAAUUGGUAGAGCAGUGGACUCUUAAUCCAUUGGUUGUAGGUUCAAGUCCUACACGGCCCACCA